GAUGAAGAACGCAGUGAAAUGCGAUAAGUAAUGUGAAUUGCAGAAUUCAGUGAAUCAUCGAAUCUUUGAACGCACAUUGCGCCCCCUGGUAUUCCGGGGGGCAUGCCUGUCCGAGCGUCAUUACAACCCUCAAGCUCAGCUUGGUGUUGGGCCCCGCCGCCCCGGCGGGCCCUAAAGUCAGUGGCGGUGCCGUCCGGCUCCGAGCGUAGUAAUUCUUCUCGCUCUGGAGGUCCGGUCGUGUGCUCGCCAGCAACCCCCAAUUUUUUCAGGUUGACCUCGGAUCAGGUAGGGAUACCCGCUGAACUUAAGCAUAUCAAUAAGCGGAGGA
RNAcentral lists this unclassified non-coding RNA (328 nucleotides) under soil metagenome. Its description in RNAcentral is "partial contains 5.8S ribosomal RNA, internal transcribed spacer 2, and large subunit ribosomal RNA". The stretch from base 1 to 120 matches the Rfam family "5.8S ribosomal RNA", at positions 35 to 154 of the family's 154-position model. The record is from RNAcentral.